GCAUAGCCAGCUCUCCCAUUGGCCAGCAUCAGAGAAAAUGAUCUUUUUUCCCCGUCAUGGAAGCUGUGAUUUUCAAAUGCCCAUGGCCCAGGAGAGACUGACGCCUAAGCCGAAUGGGGUGAAAACAAGAAAUCCUACAUACAGUAUUUUCAGGAUACGGAUAAACAAAACGUGGUCUAUCCAUACAACGGUCUAGUAUUUGGCCAUAAAAGGUCUGGAAUGCAUAAUUGGAAAGACAUUCUCAGCAACCCCCAGAAUCCCUGAAUUAAUUCUACAGCCUAUUGAAUCUAGAGACCACAGUUCAAAGAGACGAGUGCUACCACCAGGAGACACGACCGGGAUUCCAUUGAACUGCUACCUGGCCACCUUGGGCUCCUCAUGCCUUUGAAUAAACACAUAAAGAUAGUGCAAGUGGGGGACGAGACAGAGGCAGAG
Long non-coding RNA from Ailuropoda melanoleuca (giant panda), 435 nucleotides. RefSeq lists it as uncharacterized. Lineage: Eukaryota; Metazoa; Chordata; Mammalia; Carnivora; Ursidae. The record is from RefSeq and is a predicted model, not a curated record. The transcript is spliced from 5 exons.